GCAACAUGUAAAGUGUUGUAACGUUUUGGAUUUUCAUUCAUGUGGUUGUCCUUUCCCUCCCACCCUCACCCUCACACUUUUCUUACAUUCUAAUUUCCGUAUUUAAAUCAAAAGCGAAUUCUCCAAAGUGAUUAAUUACGAAGUUUUCAACUUAUUUGCUCUCACAAACUUCAACUUCAGCUUCAAAAUGCUCCAAAUCCAUUCUUCAAUCUAGGGUUCCACACCCAAUCCAAUCUCAAUUCUCCUAUCGUUCACUCCAUGGAGUCCUUCUGUGUCAACUCUUUGUACGCUGUUUCUCCUCAAUUGACUCUUUCACCGCGAACCAAACAGAAGAAGGCAUGGCGAGUGCGAAUUUCGAGUAUGGCUGCCACAACUGGAAAUUCUGUAAAAAACGCCGCCGUUUCGAAGCCGCUGCAGAGUAAUUCCAAGUCCAAUAACAGUGCUCUGGAGCAACUUGAUAUCGAGCGUGGCGUCUGCAUCCCUUUCCGCAAGUACUCUCCUGAGAUUGUGAGGAAUAAGGUAUUAGAAUCAAGAGGAGCUAUUUUGUCUCUAAUUUCGCGGGGAGUGGAGAUAGUCUUAAGUCUGGGCUUGUAUUGGUCUGCGUUGGUGUAUGAUUUCCUAGUUGGAAGGGAUGAAGAAGUUGUUCCAUUUCGUGCUCGACAGCUUAGGAACCUCUUGUGUGACCUGGGCCCUUCCUUUAUUAAAGCUGGUCAGGUCCUUGCAAACAGGCCAGAUAUCAUUAGAGAAGACUAUAUGAAUGAACUUUGCAUUCUUCAAGAUGAUGUCCCUUCAUUUCCAAAUCAAACUGCCUUCAAUAUCAUAGAGGAAGAACUGGGUCAGCCCCUUGAAGCUGUUUUCAGCAGAAUCUCAUCAGAGACAAUAGCAGCUGCAAGUUUAGGUCAAGUUUACCGGGCUACUUUACGUGCCACUGGCGAGGAUGUUGCUAUAAAGGUUCAAAGGCCCGGGAUAGAGCCCAUAAUUUAUCGAGAUCUCUUCCUGUUUCGCACUUUAGCUUCAUUCUUAAAUGGCUUCAGUAUACAGAAGCUGGGGUGUAAUGCUGAGCUGAUUGUUGAUGAAUUUGGUGAAAAGCUUUUGGAAGAGCUUGACUAUACACUGGAAGCCCGCAAUAUUGAAGAUUUUCUAGAAAAUUUUAAAAAUGACCCCACUGUCAAAAUUCCUCUGGUUUACAAACAACUUUCUGGGCCACGUGUAUUAGUGAUGGAAUGGAUUGAUGGUAUUAGAUGCACCAAUCCACAGGCCAUUAAAGAAGGUGGAAUUGAUCUAGAUGGAUUUCUAACAAUUGGUGUGAGUGCUGCCCUUAGACAACUGUUGGAAUUUGGAUUAUUUCAUGGAGACCCUCACCCUGGAAAUAUUUUCGCCAUGCGCGACGGACGGAUUGCAUAUGUGGACUUUGGCAAUGUUGCUGUUCUUAGUGAGCAAAAUAAACAGAUUCUAACUGAUGCUGUUGUACACGCCGUGAAUGAGGACUAUGCUGAGAUGGCUAAUGAUUUCACCAGAUUAGGCUUCCUGGCAGCAGGGACUGAUGUCUCUCCAAUAGUUCCUGCUUUAGAAGCAAUUUGGCAGGACUCUUCUGGAAAAGGAUUGGCAGAUUUUAAUUUUCGUAGUGUCACUGGAAAGUUUAACCAGUUGGUUUACAAUUAUCCCAUUCGAAUCCCUGAAAGGUUUUCACUCGUAAUUCGUUCUUUAUUGACUCAAGAGGGCAUCUGUUUUACUCUGAAGCCUGACUUCAAAUUUCUUGAGGUUGCCUAUCCAUAUGUGGCUAAGCGAUUACUAACAGAUCCAAAUCCAGCUCUACGCGAACGACUCAUACAGGUUCUAUUCAAAGAUGGUCUUUUCCAAUGGAAGCGACUUGAAAACCUUAUUGUUCUUGCAAAGGAAAACGUGGCCAAAAUGAGCAGCAAUCCAGCAUUGCAAGUGAGAAACACGCAAACCCAGAGAAACUGGAAAGUUGCAAAAAAACUGGACCUUACAGACACAAUCAAAGACGGAGCUCGCCUUUUCUUUGUUGACGAAGGAAUCCGCCGGCAGCUUCUACUUGCUUUGACUGAGGACUCAAAGCUUCAUAUAGAAGAGCUUGUCGAUGUGUAUAGGUUGGUUGAAGAUCAAAUAGAUAUACCCUCAGUGGCUGUAGAAGUAGCUCGAGACUUCCCAACUGUUGUCAGGGAUAUCCUACUUUCAUGGAGCGCGUCCGUCUUAUCGGAUAGAUAGUUGAAUUUUUGGAUGGCCCAUAACAAAUACAAAUAUUGUUUCAGUCAGAUGACAUAUAGCUUAUUUAUUUCAAGGUUGAAGAAGCUUCACAAAAUUCAGUGUCAAACACCGUUGGAACCCGAAAGAGAAUGUAGAACGCAAAACCAAACUAGCACAGUGUGAAAAAGCAAAGUCAAGUUAGACUCAUUGAGUUUUAAGCAUUAUCAUGCAAUUAUAUGUGAUGUCAAUUUAGUUGACUAUCUGAUUAUAAUAAUUUUCAUAAAAACAGUAUAUGGUAUUGGCAACUUUAAUUAAGACAAUAAAAGGUUAUGACUGUUGUAACCUCGUAUGAUGGAGUGUUACUUUAUUUGGUUUGCGGUUGUUGUUUAAUCGUGUGAUAACCUACAGUAUUUUUAUUUUUUA
Molecule: RNA transcript, 2631 nt
Organism: Lathyrus oleraceus (garden pea)
Lineage: Eukaryota; Viridiplantae; Streptophyta; Magnoliopsida; Fabales; Fabaceae
Gene name: protein ACTIVITY OF BC1 COMPLEX KINASE 1, chloroplastic
Exons: 15
Source: RefSeq, a predicted model, not a curated record